GGUGAUUAUGAGUACGAAGAAAUUGAAAAUCGCGUUGUACAAUUUUACACAGAUUUAAACACAGAUGGUCGUUUUUUAAAUGUUGGAGAAAAUUUAUGGGGAUUACGUGAUUGGUAUUCGGUAGAUGAUAUUGAAGAGAAAAUCGCACCAACUAUUCAA
This 159-nucleotide small RNA is filed under the name Staphylococcus aureus. Its description in RNAcentral is "HMPRFS0000_2349". Lineage: Bacteria; Bacillati; Bacillota; Bacilli; Caryophanales; Staphylococcaceae. The record is from RNAcentral.